UGCAGGCUAGACUCAAACUCCUGGAUUCAAGCAAUCCUCCUGCGGACUCAGAUGAUCCUUCUGCCUCAGCUUCCUGAGUAGCUGGGGUAAAGCUUAUAAAGUAAAAACUUUUAUAUCCCCAGCAGAAUCAUAACUUUUCACAGAGGCAUCUAAUUUCUUAACCUCAAAGCAGAAGAGAAACAUCUUUCAAAUUUUCCUAUGAUAGUCAAGGAGUGGGGGUUGUGGAAUGUAUAUACUUAGAUGAAUUAAACUCAGACCUUCUCCGGUUGUACGUGUGAGCCACCCAGACAAAGAUGAAGGUUAACAUAGUUUAAGGAUGAAAUAUAGACCAUCCUGUGCAAAACCACUGUGUUGCAGUUUAAUUAAAAGAAUUCAUUAAAGUGGUGCCCCAUCCAGGGUAA
RNAcentral lists this small RNA (401 nucleotides) under Pongo abelii (Sumatran orangutan). Its description in RNAcentral is "processed transcript". The record is from RNAcentral. Lineage: Eukaryota; Metazoa; Chordata; Mammalia; Primates; Hominidae.